CGUACACUCCUACGGGAGGCAGCAGUGGGGAAUAUUGCACAAUGGGCGCAAGCCUGAUGCAGCCAUGCCGCGUGUAUGAAGAAGGCCUUCGGGUUGUAAAGUACUUUCAGCGGGGAGGAAGGCGAUAAGGUUAAUAACCUUGUUGAUUGACGUUACCCGCAGAAGAAGCACCGGCUAACUCCGUGCCAGCAGCCGCGGUAAUACGGAGGGUGCAAGCGUUAAUCGGAAUUACUGGGCGUAAAGCGCACGCAGGCGGUCUGUCAAGUCGGAUGUGAAAUCCCCGGGCUCAACCUGGGAACUGCAUUCGAAACUGGCAGGCUAGAGUCUUGUAGAGGGGGGUAGAAUUCCAGGUGUAGCGGUGAAAUGCGUAGAGAUCUGGAGGAAUACCGGUGGCGAAGGCGGCCCCCUGGACAAAGACUGACGCUCAGGUGCGAAAGCGUGGGGAGCAAACAGGAUUAGAAACCCCGGUAGUCCC
RNAcentral lists this ribosomal RNA (475 nucleotides) under uncultured organism. RNAcentral describes it as "partial 16S ribosomal RNA". It matches the Rfam family "Bacterial small subunit ribosomal RNA", at positions 330 to 797 of the family's 1533-position model. The record is from RNAcentral.